CAGCAGCCGCGGUAAUCCGGAGGAUCCGAGCGUUAUCCGGAUUUAUUGGGUUUAAAGGGAGCGUAGGUGGACUGGUAAGUCAGUUGUGAAAGUUUGCGGCUCAACCGUAAAAUUGCAGUUGAUACUGGAUAUCUUGAGUGCAGUUGAGGCAGGCGGAAUUCGUGGUGUAGCGGUGAAAUGCUUAGAUAUCACGAAGAACUCCGAUUGCGAAGGCAGCUUACUGGAUUGUAACUGACGCUGAUGCUCGAAAGUGUGGGUAUCAAACAGGAUUAGAUACCCUGGUAGUCCACACAGUAAACGAUGAAUACUCGCUGUUGCGAUAUACAGCAAGCGGCCAAGCGAAAGCGUUAAGUAUUCCACCUGGGGAGU
This 369-nucleotide ribosomal RNA is filed under the name uncultured bacterium. RNAcentral's name for it is "bacterial SSU rRNA". It matches the Rfam family "Bacterial small subunit ribosomal RNA", at positions 509 to 881 of the family's 1533-position model. The record is from RNAcentral.